Nothobranchius furzeri (turquoise killifish) is the source of this 893-nucleotide non-coding RNA. The record is from the annotation of a RefSeq genome assembly. NCBI's taxonomy places the organism in Eukaryota, Metazoa, Chordata, Actinopteri, Cyprinodontiformes, Nothobranchiidae.
UCAACACACACUAACACUGUACUGGAGCAGGCGGAGGGAGACUAGGGGUCUUAGCACACCUCUGCUGUCGCUUGGCUUCCCGGGGCUGGAGGCUAGGAGGCUAAGCCGUUUGUGGCAGUUAAGGUGAUUUUGAGCAGUUUUUACAACAAGAUCUAAAUGUUUGCUGCUGCAUAAAUGAGACAAAUAAAGAUUUUUUUCUGUUUAUUUAAAACUGAAAUCGUAUUAAAGCUACUGCGACGUCUCUACAAUCUAAAGAGACGUGUCUAACUGAAGCCCUCUGGGUGAACAGGAUAAAUAUGUAAUCAUGAGCUCUGGUAUUUAAGGCAGCCAUCUUUUCCUGCUCCACCUUCUAAUGAGCAGAAACCGCCUUCAGAGACUCCAGUCGCUUCCUGAGAUUCAACAUGAAGCCUGAACUCCUCUUCUGCAUCGUCACCGUCAGCUGGAUUAAAGGAGUUACUCUCAGCAAAGACGAGCAGGUCUUUCAGUCUCCAGCUGAACUUUUGGGUCAACCGGGCGAUGAAGUCAGCCUGACCCUGGCUCAUGAGAUCCCGUCCUACGACACGGUUCUCUGGUACCAGCGCUCACCAGGAGACACGGCCCUAAAGCUCGUCGCCUACAUUUAUUAUAAAAUCCCAAAAGUUGAGCCUCCCUUUGAAAGCCACUUCAAAGUGAGCGGAGAUGGAGAGAAGAAAGCUCAUCUUCACAUCCUCAACCUGACUCACUCAGAAGACAGUGGAGACUAUUUUGGAGCAGCAAGUCUGCACGGUGAUAAAGAAAGUGACUUUCUAAUACAAAAACCUCAGUAAUAAGAUAGCAGGAAACCUCUGAAACCAAGCACUGCUGCAGUAGAAAACAUUUAAAUGUGCUCAAACACAUUUAUGGGAAAAGAGGAA